CCGCAUAAGCGCACGGCAUCGCAUGAUGCAGUGUGAAAAACUCCGGUGGUAUAAGAUGGACCCGCGUUGGAUUAGCUAGUUGGUGAGGUAACGGCCCACCAAGGCGGCGAUCCAUAGCCGACCUGAGAGGGUGACCGGCCACAUUGGGACUGAGACACGGCCCAAACUCCUACGGGAGGCAGCAGUGGGGAAUAUUGCACAAUGGGCGAAAGCCUGAUGCAGCGACGCCGCGUGAGCGAAGAAGUAUUUCGGUAUGUAAAGCUCUAUCAGCAGGGAAGAUAAUGACGGUACCUGACUAAGAAGCACCGGCUAAAUACGUGCCAGCAGCCGCGGUAAUACGUAUGGUGCAAGCGUUAUCCGGAUUUACUGGGUGUAAAGGGAGCGCAGGCGGUGCGGCAAGUCUGAUGUGAAAGCCCGGGGCUCAACCCCGGUACUGCAUUGGAAACUGUCGUACUAGAGUGUCGGAGGGGUAAGCGGAAUUCCUAGUGUAGCGGUGAAAUGCGUAGAUAUUAGGAGGAACACCAGUGGCGAAGGCGGCUUACUGGACGAUAACUGACGCUGAGGCUCGAAAGCGUGGGGAGCAAACAGGAUUAGAUACCCUGGUAGUCCACGCCGU
Molecule: ribosomal RNA, 616 nt
Filed under: uncultured bacterium
Lineage: Bacteria
Description: bacterial SSU rRNA
Rfam family: Bacterial small subunit ribosomal RNA
Source: RNAcentral